RNAcentral lists this transfer RNA (75 nucleotides) under Pseudomonadota bacterium. RNAcentral describes it as "Proteobacteria bacterium (freshwater metagenome) tRNA-Cys". It matches the Rfam family "tRNA". Rfam says of the family: Transfer RNA (tRNA) molecules are approximately 80 nucleotides in length. Lineage: Bacteria; Pseudomonadati; Pseudomonadota. The record is from RNAcentral.
GGCUGGAUAGCAAAGUGGUAAUGCAGGAGCCUGCAAAGCUCCCAUUCGUCGGUUCGAUUCCGACUCCGGCCUCCA